UACAGAGACCUCAAGCGUUAUCCGGAAUCAUUGGGCGUAAAGCGUACCGAUAGGUGGCUUUACAAGUCAGAAGUGAAAUCUCAAGGCUCAACUUUGAGACUGUCUUUUGAAACUGUAAAGCUAGAGGGGCAAAGAGGAAGCUGGAACGAACGGUGUAGUAGUGAAAUGCGUUGAUAUCGUUCGGAACACCAAUAGCGUAGGCAGGCUUCUGGGUGCCACCUGACACUGCUAGGACGAAAGCGUGGGGAGCGAAUGGG
This 257-nucleotide ribosomal RNA is filed under the name uncultured bacterium. RNAcentral describes it as "partial 16S ribosomal RNA". It matches the Rfam family "Bacterial small subunit ribosomal RNA", at positions 524 to 776 of the family's 1533-position model. The record is from RNAcentral.